GACGAACGCUGGCGGCGUGCCUAACACAUGCAAGUCGAACGAGGUCCAUUCCAGUGGCAACACCGGGAUGUACCUAGUGGCGAACGGGUGAGUAACACGUGAGAAACCUGCCCCGAAGACUGGGAUAACCCUCGGAAACGAGGGCUAAUACCGGAUAUCCUCAUUCGAUCGCAUGAUCGAGUGAGGAAAUGGAUUCCGCUUCGGGAGGGUCUCGCGGCCUAUCAGCUUGUUGGCGGGGUAACGGCCCACCAAGGCAUCGACGGGUAGCUGGUCUGAGAGGACGAUCAGCCACACUGGGACUGAGACACGGCCCAGACUCCUACGGGAGGCAGCAGUGGGGAAUCUUGCGCAAUGGGCGAAAGCCUGACGCAGCAACGCCGCGUGGGGGAUGAAGGCCUUCGGGUUGUAAACCCCUUUCAGUAGGGACGAAAUUGACGGUACCUACAGAAGAAGCCCCGGCUAACUACGUGCCAGCCGCCGC
Molecule: ribosomal RNA, 481 nt
Filed under: uncultured bacterium
Lineage: Bacteria
Description: bacterial SSU rRNA
Rfam family: Bacterial small subunit ribosomal RNA
Source: RNAcentral